Molecule: ribosomal RNA, 921 nt
Filed under: terrestrial metagenome
Description: bacterial SSU rRNA
Rfam family: Bacterial small subunit ribosomal RNA
Source: RNAcentral
AGGGUUUGAUCCUGGCUCAGGGUGAACGCUGGCGGCGUGCUUAACACAUGCAAGUCGCGCGGGGAAACCCCUUCGGGGGGAGUACCAGCGGCGCACGGGUGAGUAACACGUGGGUAACCUACCCCUCAGUGGGGGAUAACCGGGGGAAACUCCGGCUAAUACCCCAUAUUAUCCGGUGACGACAGUUGCUGGAUGAAAGGAGUGUUUGCUUCGCUGAGGGAUGGGCCCGCGGCCCAUCAGGUAGUUGGUGAGGUAAUGGCUCACCAAGCCUACGACGGGUAGCCGACCUGAGAGGGUGACCGGCCACAAGGGCACUGAGACACGGGCCCUACUCCUACGGGAGGCAGCAGUGGGGAAUUUUGGACAAUGGGCGAAAGCCUGAUCCAGCGACGCCGCGUGAGGGACGAAGCCCUUCGGGGUGUAAACCUCUGUUGUGAGGGACGAAUAAGAUCUGGAGGAAAUGCCAGAUCGAUGACGGUACCUCACGAGAAAGCCCCGGCUAACUACGUGCCAGCAGCCGCGGUAAUACGUAGGGGGCGAGCGUUACCCGGAUUCACUGGGCGUAAAGGGGGCGCAGGCGAUCCAGUAUGUCGGGUGUGAAAUCCCACAGCUCAACUGUGGAAUUGCGCCCGAAACUACUGGGUUUGGGGCUGGUAGAGGGAGACGGAACUGCUGGUGUAGGGGUGAAAUCCGUAGAUAUCAGCAGGAACGCCGGUGGGGAAGCCGGUCUCCUGGGCCAAGCCCGACGCUGAGGCCCGAAAGCUAGGGGAGCAAACCGGAUUAGAUACCCGGGUAGUCCUAGCCGUAAACGAUGCCCACUAGGUGUGGGGGAGUCAUCCCUCCGUGCUGAAGCUAACGCGUUAAGUGGGCCGCCUGGGGAGUACGCCCGCAAGGGUGAAACUCAAAGGAAUUGACGGGGGC